Molecule: ribosomal RNA, 478 nt
Filed under: uncultured bacterium
Lineage: Bacteria
Description: partial 16S ribosomal RNA
Rfam family: Bacterial small subunit ribosomal RNA
Source: RNAcentral
GACGAACGCUGGCGGCGUGCUUAACACAUGCAAGUCGAACGGUAAGGCCCUUCGGGGUACACGAGUGGCGAACGGGUGAGUAACACGUGGGUGAUCUGCCCUGCACUUCGGGAUAAGCCUGGGAAACUGGGUCUAAUACCGGAUAGGACUCCUGGCUUCAUGGUUGGGGGUGGAAAGCUUUUGCGGUGUGGGAUGGGCCCGCGGCCUAUCAGCUUGUUGGUGGGGUGAUGGCCUACCAAGGCGACGACGGGUAGCCGGCCUGAGAGGGUGACCGGCCAAACGGGGACUGAGAUACGGCCCAGACUCCUACGGGAGGCAGCAGUGGGGAAUAUUGCACAAUGGGCGCAAGCCUGAUGCAGCGACGCCGCGUGGGGGAUGACGGCCUUCGGGUUGUAAACCUCUUUCAGCACCGACGAAGCGCAAGUGACGGUAGGUGCAGAAGAAGGACCGGCCAACUACGUGCCAGCAGCCGCCGUAA